UGGGUGACCUGCCCUCAGCUCUGGGAUAAGCCCGGGAAACUGGGUCUAAUACCGGAUAUGACCUCUCAUCGCAUGGUGAGGGGUGGAAAGUUUUUCGGCUGGGGAUGGGCCCGCGGCCUAUCAGCUUGUUGGUGGGGUGAUGGCCUACCAAGGCGACGACGGGUAGCCGGCCUGAGAGGGCGACCGGCCACACUGGGACUGAGACACGGCCCAGACUCCUACGGGAG
RNAcentral lists this ribosomal RNA (227 nucleotides) under uncultured bacterium. RNAcentral describes it as "partial 16S ribosomal RNA". It matches the Rfam family "Bacterial small subunit ribosomal RNA", at positions 118 to 347 of the family's 1533-position model. The record is from RNAcentral.